Non-coding RNA from Pantherophis guttatus, 1761 nucleotides. The record is from RefSeq and is a predicted model, not a curated record. NCBI's taxonomy places the organism in Eukaryota, Metazoa, Chordata, Lepidosauria, Squamata, Colubridae.
GUCUUGUAUCCUUUGAGGAGGUGGUUGUGUAUUUGUCCAAGGAGGAAUGGUCUCAAUUGGAUGUUCACCAGAAAACACCACAUAGUGAAGUCAUGCUAGAAAAUCAUAGGAAUGUAGACUCUCUGGCAAAGUGUGGCGAGUUGACCGUAGUGAGUUGCCCAUGGCUGACCCAUUUCAACAUGUGAGGUGGAUGUUACUGUUACAAGCAAGAGAAGAAGAGAAAAGUUUGCUUACAUAUUCGAUAAGCUGAGUGAAGUUGAUUCUUCCAUUACAUUUUGGCGCUGUGAGUAGUGUACAAAAUGCAAGGCCAGAAUUCGUACCAGAUACAGAAAAGUAAUGAAGAGGAUCAAUAGGCAUUCCCUCUGGCCUUCAGCAACGAAUGUGGAAGUGGCAAGAUUUAUGAUCAGCAUGAAGCGCCAAGCUGGAGAGACAGUGGAAGGGAUAUCCCAAGUUACUCAUACCUGUCUGGCCAAAGUGAGCCUAGCGCUCUAUGCUGCAGUACCUAGAACUUCAGCAUUGCAAAAAAACUAUCCAGCAGACACGAAAAACAAAUGCAGGCAGCACCUUUGGACCCACAGUGAGCCUGGAUGACCUUGUAUUACCCGAUGAAUACAAGAUCUUUUUACCAAUACUGGGUGUAGAAGCAAUUUCGGAGAGGGAUAGAGCAGGAUCCUAAUAUUUGGCAGAAGUAGUUGGCUGUAUAUUCUGCAAUCAUCUGACACCUGGUACGUGGAUGGCAUUUUUGCAAUUGCUCACAAACUGUUUGCUCAGGUUUAUGUGAUCCUAGCAAAGAAGUAUGAGGACAUGCCCCAUGUUGUAUGUAUUUUUGGCCAAACAAACAGUGCACUACAUACAAAUUGCUGUUUGAGCUUGUGAAAAUCCUAGUGGCUAACACCCAGCCGUGGACCAUUCUCUGUGAUUUUGAAAUGGCUGCCAUCAGGGAAUACUUCCCAGAAGUGGCUCUAAAAGGCUGUUUGUUCCACCUCAUUCAACAUGAGGAAGCAUUUGGUAACAACUGGAGCUGCCCAUGAAUUCAACACCGAUGCAAUUUGCUGUGAAAGCAAAAAUGGUUUCUUCAGCUUUGGCAUUAGUGCCUGUUUCGGACUUGGAAGAAUAUUUUGCUGCUCUAGAAAAAUAUUUGCCAGGAACCUGCAACCUCUACUGAACUCUGCUUCAAGGACAAUUACAUAGGUCAUCCAGGCAGGAGAAGACAAGGAAGACGCGGCCAUCUUUGUUUGCAACAGCCCUGUGGAAUGUAUGUUGACUGAACGCGAAGUGGAGAGGAUUGCACGAACAAUCUCUCUGAAGUUCUCAACGGCGACUAUGUGCUCAAUUGGGAUUGUAGUGUCCAACUAUUUGCAAGUUUAUUGAUGGUCUGCGGAAAGUCCAGAAAGACAGAGAUGUGAUUUAUGAACAACUCCUUUCAGGACAUGGUCCUCCACUGAAACUGAAGAAAUAUUGCAUGGCAGAUAAACACAUUGCUAGGAUUGUCAGCGAAUAUGGCAACCAAAACCCACAGUGUGUUGAACAUACAUUGAACAAUGUGGGAAGCUUACCGAAAUACUGAACAUACUUUUCCAGUUGGGUAGUUUAUCUAGGACUGUGUGUUCAGAACAUUAAAGACUGAGACUUGUAUGUAACAAUUGAUGUGCCAACAGUGAUGCAAUAUACCUUUCUUUUUGGGAAGCAGGUAUAUAAUUUGGGUUUCUGUGUAGGCAUACAUCCUAUAAUCAGCCCAAAUAAAAAGCUACACGUACAGUU